GACGAACGCUGGCGGCGUGCUUAACACAUGCAAGUCGAACGGUAAGGCCCUUCGGGUACGACGAGUGGCGAACGGGUGAGUAACACGUGGUGAUCUGCCCUGCACUUUGGGAUAAGCCUGGGAAACUGGGUCUAAUACCGAAUAGGACCAUGGACUUCACGGUUUGUGGUGGAAAGCUUUUGCGGUGUGGGAUGGGCCCGCGGCCUAUCAGCUUGUUGGUGGGGUAAUGGCCUACCAAGGCGACGACGGGUAGCCGGCCUGAGAGGGUGACCGGCCACACUGGGACUGAGAUACGGCCCAGACUCCUACGGGAGGCAGCAGUGGGGAAUAUUGCACAAUGGGCGCAAGCCUGAUGCAGCGACGCCGCGUGAGGGAUGACGGCC
This 383-nucleotide ribosomal RNA is filed under the name uncultured bacterium. Its description in RNAcentral is "bacterial SSU rRNA". It matches the Rfam family "Bacterial small subunit ribosomal RNA", at positions 28 to 416 of the family's 1533-position model. The record is from RNAcentral.